RNAcentral lists this ribosomal RNA (1313 nucleotides) under Streptomyces tuirus. Its description in RNAcentral is "bacterial SSU rRNA". It matches the Rfam family "Bacterial small subunit ribosomal RNA", at positions 86 to 1404 of the family's 1533-position model. Lineage: Bacteria; Bacillati; Actinomycetota; Actinomycetes; Kitasatosporales; Streptomycetaceae. The record is from RNAcentral.
UGGGGAUUAGUGGCGAACGGGUGAGUAACACGUGGGCAAUCUGCCCUGCACUCUGGGACAAGCCCUGGAAACGGGGUCUAAUACCGGAUACUGACCAUCGCAGGCAUCUGUGAGGGUCGAAAGCUCCGGCGGUGCAGGAUGAGCCCGCGGCCUAUCAGCUUGUUGGUGAGGUAAUGGCUCACCAAGGCGACGACGGGUAGCCGGCCUGAGAGGGCGACCGGCCACACUGGGACUGAGACACGGCCCAGACUCCUACGGGAGGCAGCAGUGGGGAAUAUUGCACAAUGGGCGAAAGCCUGAUGCAGCGACGCCGCGUGAGGGAUGACGGCCUUCGGGUUGUAAACCUCUUUCAGCAGGGAAGAAGCGAAAGUGACGGUACCUGCAGAAGAAGCGCCGGCUAACUACGUGCCAGCAGCCGCGGUAAUACGUAGGGCGCGAGCGUUGUCCGGAAUUAUUGGGCGUAAAGAGCUCGUAGGCGGCUUGUCACGUCGGUUGUGAAAGCCCGGGGCUUAACCCCGGGUCUGCAGUCGAUACGGGCAGGCUAGAGUUCGGUAGGGGAGAUCGGAAUUCCUGGUGUAGCGGUGAAAUGCGCAGAUAUCAGGAGGAACACCGGUGGCGAAGGCGGAUCUCUGGGCCGAUACUGACGCUGAGGAGCGAAAGCGUGGGGAGCGAACAGGAUUAGAUACCCUGGUAGUCCACGCCGUAAACGGUGGGCACUAGGUGUGGGCAACAUUCCACGUUGUCCGUGCCGCAGCUAACGCAUUAAGUGCCCCGCCUGGGGAGUACGGCCGCAAGGCUAAAACUCAAAGGAAUUGACGGGGGNCCCGCACAAGCGGCGGAGCAUGUGGCUUAAUUCGACGCAACGCGAAGAACCUUACCAAGGCUUGACAUACACCGGAAAACCCUGGAGACAGGGUCCCCCUUGUGGUCGGUGUACAGGUGGUGCAUGGCUGUCGUCAGCUCGUGUCGUGAGAUGUUGGGUUAAGUCCCGCAACGAGCGCAACCCUUGUCCCGUGUUGCCAGCAGGCCCUUGUGGUGCUGGGGACUCACGGGAGACCGCCGGGGUCAACUCGGAGGAAGGUGGGGACGACGUCAAGUCAUCAUGCCCCUUAUGUCUUGGGCUGCACACGUGCUACAAUGGCCGGUACAAUGAGCUGCGAUACCGCGAGGUGGAGCGAAUCUCAAAAAGCCGGUCUCAGUUCGGAUUGGGGUCUGCAACUCGACCCCAUGAAGUCGGAGUCGCUAGUAAUCGCAGAUCAGCAUUGCUGCGGUGAAUACGUUCCCGGGCCUUGUACACACCGCCCGUCACGUCA